RNAcentral lists this ribosomal RNA (1391 nucleotides) under Chlamydiales bacterium CRIB 34. RNAcentral describes it as "bacterial SSU rRNA". It matches the Rfam family "Bacterial small subunit ribosomal RNA", at positions 89 to 1456 of the family's 1533-position model. The record is from RNAcentral. Lineage: Bacteria; Pseudomonadati; Chlamydiota; Chlamydiia; Chlamydiales.
UAUUUAGUGGCGGAAGGGUUAGUAAUACAUGAAUAACUCACCCUUAACCUGGGGAUAACGAUUGGAAACGAUCGCUAAUACCGAAUGAGGUGAAACUGAGGCGACUUGGUAUCAUCAAAGUGGGGGAUUUUGAAAGAGACCUUGCGGUUGAGGAGAGGUUCAUGGGAUAUCAGCUAGUUGGUGAGGUAAGAGCUCACCAAGGCUAAGACGUCUAGGCGGAUUGAGAGAUUGACCGCCAACAUUGGGACUGAGAUACUGCCCAGACUCCUACGGGAGGCUGCAGUCGAGGAUCAUUCGCAAUGAGCGAAAGCUUGACGAUGCGACGCUGUGUGAACGAUGAAGGCCUUCGGGUUGUAAAGUUCUUUCGCCUGUGAACAAGAGGAUUUAGAUAAUACCUAAAGAAUUUGAGGGUAGCAGGUAAAGAAGCACCGGCUAACUCCGUGCCAGCAGCUGCGGUAAUACGGAGGGUGCAAGCAUUAAUCGGAAUUAUUGGGCGUAAAGGGCGCGUAGGCGGUUUGCUAAGUCAGAUGUGAAAUACCAGAGCUCAACUCUGGUGCUGCAUUUGAAACUGGUGAGCUUGAGGGUUGGCGGAGAAAACGGAAUUCCACAAGUAGCGGUGAAAUGCGUAGAUAUGUGGAAGAACACCUGUGGCGAAAGCGGUUUUCUAGCUAAUGCCUGACGCUGAGGCGCGAGAGCAAGGGGAGCAAACAGGAUUAGAUACCCUGGUAGUCCUUGCCGUAAACUAUGUAUACUUGAUGUAGUUGGGCUCAACCCCGACUGUGUCGAAGCUAACGCGAUAAGUAUACCGCCUGAGGAGUACGCUCGCAAGGGUGAAACUCAAAAGAAUUGACGGGGGCCCGCACAAGCAGUGGAGCAUGUGGUUUAAUUCGAUGCAACGCGAAGAACCUUACCCGGGAUUGAAAUUCAGUAGGCGAUGGUAGAAAUAUCAUUUCCCGCAAGGGCUGCUGAAUAGGUGCUGCAUGGCUGUCGUCAGCUCGUGCCGUGAGGUGUUGGGUUAAGUCCCGCAACGAGCGCAACCCUUAUCAUUAGUUGCCAACACGAGAGGUGGGAACUCUAAUGAGACUGCCUGGGUUAACCAGGAGGAAGGUGAGGAUGAUGUCAAGUCCGCAUGGCCUUUAUAUCCGGGGCUACACACGUGCUACAAUGGUAGAUACAGAAGGCAGCAAAGCCGCAAGGUGGAGCAAAUCCGUAAAGUCUAUCUCAGUUCGGAUUGUGGUCUGCAACUCGACCACAUGAAGCUGGAAUUGCUAGUAAUGACGUAUCAGCUACGACGUCGUGAAUACGUUCCCGGGCCUUGUACACACCGCCCGUCACAUCAUGGGAGUUGGUUUUACCCGAAGUCGCUGACUUAACCGCAAGGGGAGAGGCGC